Molecule: ribosomal RNA, 460 nt
Filed under: uncultured bacterium
Lineage: Bacteria
Description: partial 16S ribosomal RNA
Rfam family: Bacterial small subunit ribosomal RNA
Source: RNAcentral
CCUACGGGUGGCAGCAGUGAGGAAUAUUGGGCAAGGGGCGCGAGCCUGAACCAGCCAAGUCGCGUGAGGGAAGACGGCCCGACGGGUGGUAAACCUCUUUUGCCGGGGAGCAAGGGGCGCCACGUGUGGCGUGACUGAGAGGACCAGAAGAAAAAGCAGCGGCGAACUCCGUGCCAGCAGCCGCGGUACUACGGAGGAUGCGAGCGUUAUCCGGAUUUAUUGGGUUUAAAGGGUGCGUAGGCGGAACGCAAAGUCAGCGGUCAAAUCGAGGGGCUCAACCCCUUCCCGCCAUUGAAACUGGCGUUCUUGAGUGGACGAGAAGUAUGCGGAAUGCGUGGUGUAGCGGUGAAAUGCAUAGAUAUCACGCAGAACCCCGAUUGCGAAGGCAGCAUGCCGGCUUCCAACUGACGCUGAAGCACUAAAGCGUGGGGAUCGAACAGGAUUAGAUACCCCUGUAGUC